GCAAUCUACCUUUUACAGAGGGAUAGCCCAGAGAAAUUUGGAUUAAUACCUCAUAGCAUAGCAAUCUCGCAUGAGAUCACUAUUAAAGUCACAACGGUAAAAGAUGAGCAUGCGUCCCAUUAGCUAGUUGGUAAGGUAACGGCUUACCAAGGCUACGAUGGGUAGGGGUCCUGAGAGGGAGAUCC
RNAcentral lists this ribosomal RNA (185 nucleotides) under uncultured Bacteroidota bacterium. RNAcentral describes it as "uncultured Bacteroidetes bacterium partial 16S ribosomal RNA". It matches the Rfam family "Bacterial small subunit ribosomal RNA", at positions 121 to 306 of the family's 1533-position model. The record is from RNAcentral. Lineage: Bacteria; Pseudomonadati; Bacteroidota.